Molecule: small nuclear RNA, 100 nt
Filed under: Octodon degus (degu)
Lineage: Eukaryota; Metazoa; Chordata; Mammalia; Rodentia; Octodontidae
Source: RNAcentral
UUGCUUCAGCAGCAUAUGUAUUAAAAUUGGAACAAUAUAGAAGUUAACCUUGCCCCUUAUGCGAAGAUGACAUGCAAAUUCAUAAAUGUUCCUUAUUUUU